UGCUCAGGAUGAACGCUGGCGGCGUGCCUAAUACAUGCAAGUCGAACGAGUUCUCGUUGAUGAUCGGUGCUUGCACCGAGAUUCAACAUGGAACGAGUGGCGGACGGGUGAGUAACACGUGGGUAACCUGCCCUUAAGUGGGGGAUAACAUUUGGAAACAGAUGCUAAUACCGCAUAGAUCCAAGAACCGCAUGGUUCUUGGCUGAAAGAUGGCGUAAGCUAUCGCUUUUGGAUGGACCCGCGGCGUAUUAGCUAGUUGGUGAGGUAAUGGCUCACCAAGGCGAUGAUACGUAGCCGAACUGAGAGGUUGAUCGGCCACAUUGGGACUGAGACACGGCCCAAACUCCUACGGGAGGCAGCAGUAGGGAAUCUUCCACAAUGGACGCAAGUCUGAUGGAGCAACGCCGCGUGAGUGAAGAAGGCUUUCGGGUCGUAAAACUCUGUUGUUGGAGAAGAAUGGUCGGCAGAGUAACUGUUGUCGGCGUGACGGUAUCCAACCAGAAAGCCACGGCUAACUACGUGCCAGCAGCCGCGGUAAUACGUAGGUGGCAAGCGUUAUCCGGAUUUAUUGGGCGUAAAGCGAGCGCAGGCGGUUUUUUAAGUCUGAUGUGAAAGCCCUCGGCUUAACCGAGGAAGCGCAUCGGAAACUGGGAAACUUGAGUGCAGAAGAGGACAGUGGAACUCCAUGUGUAGCGGUGAAAUGCGUAGAUAUAUGGAAGAACACCAGUGGCGAAGGCGGCUGUCUGGUCUGUAACUGACGCUGAGGCUCGAAAGCAUGGGUAGCGAACAGGAUUAGAUACCCUGGUAGUCCAUGCCGUAAACGAUGAAUGCUAGGUGUUGGAGGGUUUCCGCCCUUCAGUGCCGCAGCUAACGCAUUAAGCAUUCCGCCUGGGGAGUACGACCGCAAGGUUGAAACUCAAAGGAAUUGACGGGGGCCCGCACAAGCGGUGGAGCAUGUGGUUUAAUUCGAAGCAACGCGAAGAACCUUACCAGGUCUUGACAUCUUUUGAUCACCUGAGAGAUCAGGUUUCCCCUUCGGGGGCAAAAUGACAGGUGGUGCAUGGUUGUCGUCAGCUCGUGUCGUGAGAUGUUGGGUUAAGUCCCGCAACGAGCGCAACCCUUAUGACUAGUUGCCAGCAUUUAGUUGGGCACUCUAGUAAGACUGCCGGUGACAAACCGGAGGAAGGUGGGGAUGACGUCAAAUCAUCAUGCCCCUUAUGACCUGGGCUACACACGUGCUACAAUGGAUGGUACAACGAGUUGCGAGACCGCGAGGUCAAGCUAAUCUCUUAAAGCCAUUCUCAGUUCGGACUGUAGGCUGCAACUCGCCUACACGAAGUCGGAAUCGCUAGUAAUCGCGGAUCAGCACGCCGCGGUGAAUACGUUCCCGGGCCUUGUACACACCGCCCGUCACACCAUGAGAGUUUGUAACACCCGAAGCCGGUGGCGUAACCCUUUUAGGGAGCGAGCCGUCUAAGGUGGGACAAAUGAUUAGGGUGAAGUCGUAACAAAGGUAACC
This 1519-nucleotide ribosomal RNA is filed under the name Lacticaseibacillus casei. RNAcentral's name for it is "bacterial SSU rRNA". It matches the Rfam family "Bacterial small subunit ribosomal RNA". The record is from RNAcentral. Lineage: Bacteria; Bacillati; Bacillota; Bacilli; Lactobacillales; Lactobacillaceae.